UUAAGAGAGAGUGCAGAGGCUCUCUCAGACAUGUUCAUGUUCUGGGCAGCAGGACUCCUCCUUUAACCUUGCUUUUCCUCCCCAGGCUGCAGCUCCUCUGCAUGUUUCAGAGAGCUGACUUUCUUACUUCAGACCACUGGAGGUCUAAUUAUCGGUCUCUUAUUCCUCAGAUGAAACAUUCCUGCACAAAUUAAGCCUCAGCUUUCUCUGCAAAUCUCAGUUUCAACAGUCCAGACUCUGCAGCUCUGCAGGUCAGCUCACAGACCUCAGUCAGAUGUCCCUUGGUUUCUUGAGCACACGUCCUUCACAGCGUGGAUCUCUUCCUGUCUGUGGGUGGUGAGCAGUGGGACAGGACAGAGUUCAGAGACAGGACAUGACAUCUAAGUUUGCUGUGAAGCCUUAGUGUGAUGAUGAGGAGGAUGAAGCAGCAGAGACUGACGUUAUGAUAACAGUUUGUACAUUUAUAUAUCAACGCUUUGUGGAGACAGACGAUGUGCCGACUUCUUCUCUGCUCUCCUCUUUCUCUCUUUCUCUCUGAUGUUUUUACUCACCAGGUUCACAUCACUCUUCUGACUUUGCUUUAGUGAUGUGAUAAAUGGCUCCACCAGCAGCUUGUGGUGAAUUUCCCUGAAUGUGUCCCACUCUGUUCUCACAUCAGCUCACCUUAGCAACUUCAUACAGACAUUUCACAGGCAGGUAAAAGUACAGGUGAAAGUUUCUGCAGUUCGCGUUCACACACGCAUCUCAUUCUGAAACUUUAGAGAAAGCUUUGUGAGUUUUGUGAUGUGAGAAUACAGCUUUGCAGAUGAUUGAUUUACCUCUUCAGUUUUUUGCAGUCUCAUAGUUUGAGUGUUAACUUUAAUGACCACGUGUUUAAGAUGAGACAGGUGUUUAUUAUCAUGAAGUCAUAGAAACUUGAACUAAUGGUGCAGGAUUUCAAACAGAAAUUCAUCAUGAGUCAUUCGUUACUUUGACUUGAAUUAGCUAAAAAAGUGUGUCACCAUAAAGUCCUCUGAUUGUUCACAAACAGGUUGUUGGAGCUAUUUACAUUGUUUCAUAUAUUUGAUUAUUUUUACUUUAAUCAAUUUAUUUAUUAUGUCAUUUAAGGUAAUUAUAGGAUGAAGUUUGAUGCCUUGUGUGUUAUUAAUAUAUUUCAUUACUCACUUUUGUAAGUUGAUAGUUUUGCACUGGGUGACAUGUUUGUAGACGGGCAGGUAAGAUAGGAGGGGCAGACACCGGGGGGAGGUGAAUGUUUUUUUUUACCAGGAGAUUUGAAGGCUUAGAGACGUUCCCUUCUGUUUGAGAGAAGCUUUGUUUUGUUGCGCAAUAAACCACCAAAAUACUGAAUAAUUGGUUGGACAUUGGCAAUAUUUGGACACCGUGUAAGAUCCACUCUCCGUGUGCCCUGUGACCGUUUUUUAAUUUGAAUUUUGAGUUUUGUCAAAAAGCCACUACAUGUCAUCUGGAUUAAUCUCUGUGUUUUAUUUCAUGUGUGAUCUCUUUCAUAUUUGAACACAUUCUUAUAGUUUCAGUAGAGAAAAGACACUUAAGUGAGUUGUUCAUAUUCAUUUAUUCACAGUUAAAUCUGCAGAGACGUGACGAGAAUAAUGAGGUGAGUACAGAUGGUUGGUUUACCUGUGUUUGACCUUUAAUGAUCCUGAACGGAUGACAGGUGGAUGCAGACAGAUUCACUCCGAAAUAUGACAUAUAAGAUGCACUUUUGAUACUGCUUCAAUCUAAAACAGGGGCUACACACGGUCUAAUAACCCAGUUUAAAAUGCAGAGAGUUGUUUUAUUGUUUUACUGCAGUUCGCUCAGGAGGUGUCAACAGAAAUAUUUGAUGUACCUUUCAUCAAAGUUUUAUUGGGAGUCUCUUGACGUAUUUUUGCUGGUUUGGUUUGUGAAAGACAAGAAGUGUCUGAAUGGCAUCAACAGAUUGUGCUGAUGACUCCAGCUUCAGGAACCGCUGCUCCCUUUGGACGAUGUGGGUGGUCCAGAAAGCAAACAGAGUUUUAACCCAAGCGGAUCACAUACUUGGCAGUGGAGUUGCAAUCAAGCCCUCAGGUCGGCGGUAUUAUGUGCCGGUGUGGAGAACAAACUCAACUUCUUUUAUUCCCUCGAGAAUCACUCCGCAUCCCGCUCUGCUGUACGGUCACUGGUUGUGGUUGUUGAUUUCACAAUGGGUUAUUUUAUUAUUAUGUGUUGUUACUAUUUCCUUUUCUGUAUAUUUUGUACUAUGGACGGGUUGACUGUAAAACUGAAUUGCCCUUCUGGGACUAAUAAAGUAUUCUGAAUCUGAAUCUGAAUCUAUGCUAGCUCUACCGUCACCGUCUGCACUCGACCUGGCGUGAAUGAAACUUACUCGGAUAAAUGAAACAUGCAUCAUGCUGCGAGGCACUUUAAACAUCUUUACUCCCUCUCAGGUCACGAUUCUGCAUUAAAGAAAGGUUUUCUGUGAGGUGAAUGAAGCUGGUUUAAUCGAUAAGACUCCUUACUUAAUCUGAGCUCACUAACUGUACUCUAGAUGCUGCUAGAGAGAGCUGCACAAAAUCUGCACGCUGAGGAGAGACCUCCAAACCCGGACAGCGUCUCGAACACCGGCUGAGCUUCUUACAGACUUUACGGUUUCUCUUUCAGCUGCACGCUCUGACACACACCUGUUCCUGUCUCCAUGCCUGAGUGGAGAAACUGUCCUGAUGUCUGAGAAUGCACCCCGUGUGGUUUGGAUUGGAUUAGUGAUUAAAGAUUAAGUGUCCUCUUUAAUCAUCGGGUAUUCAUCAGAGGAGACUGAAGGGUUUGGUUUCAGGGGUUCAGAAGGACGGUCAGACUGAGCUUCAUCAGGCGGCCGGCGAGGGAAGUCUCCGGCUCCUUCAGCUGUAGGAGGAAGAAGAAGAAGAAGAAG
This is a long non-coding RNA of Notolabrus celidotus (New Zealand spotty), 2902 nucleotides long. RefSeq lists it as uncharacterized. Lineage: Eukaryota; Metazoa; Chordata; Actinopteri; Labriformes; Labridae. The record is from RefSeq and is a predicted model, not a curated record. The transcript is spliced from 5 exons.